RNAcentral lists this long non-coding RNA (649 nucleotides) under Gossypium raimondii (Peruvian cotton). RNAcentral's name for it is "long non-coding RNA (GRAI_LNC010496)". Lineage: Eukaryota; Viridiplantae; Streptophyta; Magnoliopsida; Malvales; Malvaceae. The record is from RNAcentral.
AAAAGUAAGUAUAUAAAUAUACAUAUCUAUGAGGUUAGUUCGAUAUUAGUUUUCAUGCAACCCCAGCCCAUUGUUCUCUAUCUCUUCUUAAUUUUUAUAUCUCUGAAACUCGCAUGGAUAAGAAAAUGGUUGAUGUUAAAGCGUCGGUAAUGGAAUGCCAAAAAGCAAUACUUGAGACUGAGAAGAAGAAGAAGAAGACGAUAACGACGAAGAAGAAGAAGAGAGGAAGAAUCAAGCGAAAGAUUUUUGCCCUUUUGUAUAAAAAACUGAAGCUAGCAACCCUAUACUUCAUCGGUCAUUAUCUUCUUAGCAAGACCACCACCACCACCACCACCACCACCACCAACAACAACAAGAGUUUGAGUUAGCAAUUUCUUCCUUCUGUAUAUAUAUCUUGAGUUACUUUCUAGGCUUGUUGCUAAAAUCUUCCUUUGGUAAAUGCAUUUUGUUUUAAAGGAAUUGUGUUUGCUAUUGUGGUCUUGUUAAUAAUAAUCUUUUGAUGAGAUCUUCUAAGAAAACGAUUGUUGGAUACUGUCUAUUUUGAAUAUAUUCAAACAUUUAAAUUUUAUAUUUGAAGUACAUCUAAUAGUUUUUGGAUACGAUAUACGAAUAUGAAAUAACACACAAGAAAAACAAUAACAUGAGGAUG